CAGCAGCCGCGGUAAUACGGAGGGAGCUAGCGUUGUUCGGAAUCACUGGGCGUAAAGCGCACGUAGGCGGCUAUUCAAGUCAGGGGUGAAAGCCCGGGGCUCAACCCCGGAACUGCCUUUGAAACUAGAUAGCUUGAAUCUUGGAGAGGCGAGUGGAAUUCCGAGUGUAGAGGUGAAAUUCGUAGAUAUUCGGAAGAACACCAGUGGCGAAGGCGACUCGCUGGACAAGUAUUGACGCUGAGGUGCGAAAGCGUGGGGAGCAAACAGGAUUAGAUACCCGGGUAGUCCCUGUCUCUUAUAC
This 301-nucleotide ribosomal RNA is filed under the name uncultured bacterium. Its description in RNAcentral is "partial 16S ribosomal RNA". It matches the Rfam family "Bacterial small subunit ribosomal RNA", at positions 509 to 807 of the family's 1533-position model. The record is from RNAcentral.